GAUUUCUGGUUUGACGCCGCUGACCCGCUUCUUAGGAAGUGCGUGUUGGUUGUGUGUCUGCCAUCCUUCCAGAAAACCUUUCUACCCUUCACUGGGCUGGAUUGGCAAUCUGGAACAUUUACUUUGAAAAAAUUAGAGUGUUCAAAGCAGGCUUGCGCUGUGAAUACAUUAGCAUGGAAUAAUAAUUUAGGGCUUCGGUUCUAUUUUGUUGGUUUCUAGGAUUGAAGCAAUGAUUGAUAGGGAUAGUUGGGGGUGCUAGUAUUAAGAGGCCAGAGGUGAAAUUCUUGGAUUCUCUUAAGACUAACUUAUGCGAAAGCAUU
RNAcentral lists this ribosomal RNA (320 nucleotides) under uncultured Marimonadida. RNAcentral's name for it is "SSU rRNA". The stretch from base 46 to 320 matches the Rfam family "Eukaryotic small subunit ribosomal RNA", at positions 679 to 955 of the family's 1831-position model. The record is from RNAcentral. Lineage: Eukaryota; Cercozoa; Imbricatea.